This 692-nucleotide long non-coding RNA is filed under the name Cricetulus griseus (Chinese hamster). RNAcentral's name for it is "lncRNA (ENSCGRG00015041987.1)". Lineage: Eukaryota; Metazoa; Chordata; Mammalia; Rodentia; Cricetidae. The record is from RNAcentral.
GAGCAUUCACACAAUAGAUUACCAUAGCAAGGAAAAACCCAAGCUGCCCUCGCCCCAAACGUGGAAGUUGUUAUAAAUGCAUCAUUAGCUGAAAGAAGCCUGGCACAGAAGAUGACCUUUUAAAGACAGCACUUAUCCAAGAUUCAGGAGUGGGCGACAAGCAACUAUGCAGUCUCUUCACACUGCCCAGGCUGACCUUGAACUCUUGGUGAGUCUCAGGAUUCUCAGUGAUUCUCCUGCCUCAGCCUCCAGAGAACCUAGGACUUCAGAGACACAAGCGACCCGCCAUGUUGGUGACAAAUAUUCUAUCUGCUGCACUUAUGAAAAUGGCAGGAAAAUACCAACAAAUGCAUCACUGGAACCUUCAAAAUGGAGCUGGGAGACUGCGUGGGGAAAGUCAAGGAUGUCUUCUCUAUCCUCAGAGAGAAAAUGAAGUUUCAAAGGGCAGAAUUACAGUUUGGUUUUACAAUCUUACUUGAUUUUGUUUCUUAGUCUGGAAUUGGGCAACCUUUCAUUACAUAAAAAGCAAUUAAGUACUCCCAUGAGAACAGCAGAAAAAGUUGUGUUUUUUUUUUCCUUUUAUUUUAAAAUACCUCAAGUUGUCCUCAAACUAUGUAGCCAAGGAUAGCCUUGAAAUUCUUGGGCUGGAGAGAUGACUCAGAGGUUAAGAGCACCAACUACUAUUCCAGAGG